UUACCAGNNUNNNANGAAAGAAAUCCGCAAGGUGCAGGUGGUGCANGGUUGUCGUCAGCUCGUGUCGUGAGAUGUUGGGUUAAGUCCCGCAACGAGCGCANCCCCGUCUAUGUUGCCAGCAUAUGGGACUCAUGGAGACUGCCGGGGUCAAUCGGAGGAAGGUGGGGAUGACGUCAAAUCAUCAUGCCCCUUAUGCUGGGCUUCACGCAUGCUACAAUGGGGUACAAGGGGCACCGUAAGGGGAGCAAUCCCAAAACCGUCUCAGUUCGGAUUGAGGUCUGCAACUCGACCUCAUGAAGUCGGAGUCGCUAGUAAUCGCAAUCAGCACGUGCGGUGAAUACGUUCCCGGGCCUUGUACACACCGCCCGUCAAGUCACGAAAGUCGGAAACCGAA
Molecule: ribosomal RNA, 394 nt
Filed under: uncultured bacterium
Lineage: Bacteria
Description: partial 16S ribosomal RNA
Rfam family: Bacterial small subunit ribosomal RNA
Source: RNAcentral